CAGUCGCCACGGUAAAACGUAGGGUGCGAGCGUUAAUCGGAAUUACUGGGCGUAAAGCGUGCGCAGGCGGCUUUGCAAGACAGAUGUGAAAUCCCCGGGCUCAACCUGGGAACUGCAUUUGUGACUGCAAGGCUAGAGUACGGUAGAGGGGGAUGGAAUUCCGCGUGUAGCAGUGAAAUGCGUAGAUAUGCGGAGGAACACCAAUGGCGAAGGCAAUCCCCUGGACCUGUACUGACGCUCAUGCACGAAAGCGUGGGGAGCAAACAGGAUUAGAUACCCCAGUAGUCCCUGUCUCUUAUAC
Molecule: ribosomal RNA, 301 nt
Filed under: uncultured bacterium
Lineage: Bacteria
Description: partial 16S ribosomal RNA
Rfam family: Bacterial small subunit ribosomal RNA
Source: RNAcentral